CAGCCGCCGCGGUAAUACAGAGGGUGCAAGCGUUAAUCGGAAUUACUGUGCGUAAAGCGCGCGUAGGUGGUUUGUUAAGUUGGAUGUGAAAGCCCCGGGCUCAACCUGGGAACUGCAUCCAAAACUGGCAAGCUAGAGUACGGUAGAGGGUGGUGGAAUUUCCUGUGUAGCGGUGAAAUGCGUAGAUAUAGGAAGGAACACCAGUGGCGAAGGCGACCACCUGGACUGAUACUGACACUGAGGUGCGAAAGCGUGGGGAGCAAACAGGAUUAGAUACCCCUGUAGUCCCUGUCUCUUAUAC
RNAcentral lists this ribosomal RNA (301 nucleotides) under uncultured bacterium. RNAcentral's name for it is "partial 16S ribosomal RNA". It matches the Rfam family "Bacterial small subunit ribosomal RNA", at positions 509 to 807 of the family's 1533-position model. The record is from RNAcentral.